Molecule: ribosomal RNA, 253 nt
Filed under: uncultured bacterium
Lineage: Bacteria
Description: partial 16S ribosomal RNA
Rfam family: Bacterial small subunit ribosomal RNA
Source: RNAcentral
UACAGAGGGUGCGAGCGUUAAUCGGAAUUACUGGGCGUAAAGCGCGCGUAGGCGGCUUUUCAAGUCGAUUGUGAAAUCCCCGGGCUUAACCUGGGAACUGCAGUCGAGACUGUCUAGCUAGAGUAUGGGAGAGGGAAGUGGAAUUUCAGGUGUAGCGGUGAAAUGCGUAGAUAUCUGAAGGAACACCGGUGGUGUAGACGGCUUUCUGGACCGACACUGACGCUGAGACACGAAAGCGUGGGUAGCAAACAGG